Lagopus leucura (white-tailed ptarmigan) is the source of this 1555-nucleotide long non-coding RNA. RefSeq lists it as uncharacterized. The record is from RefSeq and is a predicted model, not a curated record. NCBI's taxonomy places the organism in Eukaryota, Metazoa, Chordata, Aves, Galliformes, Phasianidae. The transcript has 9 exons.
GUGCUGUGGGCGAGCGGCUAUGGCGGCUGCCGCGGCCGUAGGCCUAGGCUAGGCUGGCAGCGGGGGCUGUUCUGUUGUGCCGCUGGGUCCGGUGCUGGGCCCUCCGCGGAACUCCCGUUGGGCACACAGAGUUCUGCUAAUAAAUCCAAGCAGUGAGGAGUGCACCUUCUCUUUGCAGAGACUGCUUCUGUUGCUGUGGAGGUUGGUCAGUGUGUAGUACUGCUUUAAGCUGAGCACUUGAGGCCUCUGGAAUCAGCACCUGCUGUGUUAGCUAGUGUAGAAUGUAAGCAAAUGCUUGUAAUUAAAAGUACAUUAGGCUGAAGGUUAUUCAGAGCUGAUGUGAAGAUGUAGUGGAACCUUAAGAGCCAAGAUUGAGAACAAUCUCUAGAAGGCUACAGUGCUUUGAGUUGAUAUGCAGUUGUUCACAGAUGUACCACUGCCAGAAGCGAUGAUGUGAAUAAGGCAUGAUUGUGAACGUCACAUCACAGCUUUCAGAAGCAUAAGUUUCUACCUAUCAUCUCUAACUAUUUCAUAAGCUGUUAAUGUAUACCUGGUCUAAAAAUACUGUUUUGAAGACUUGGGACUGACCCGCUGAUGACUACUUGAAUUUAAACCUAGAGGGUUGUUUCUCAUAAGCUUGGAAGAAGUGAACCUUUCAGAAAUUGAGAUUGAUCAGUGCCUCCAGAUGACUAACCAGUGCCAUGUGGUUUUGGCAGUUACCAAUAUGCAAAGCGGAAGAGGAAAGUGGAAAACUGAGAUUCUCAAGUAUUUUGAAGUCUCAUUUGGAUUCGAUGUCCUGAAACAGAAACCUCAAAAGUGAUGUGGGCCAAUUCAGAGGCAGUCAUUCUGUACUGCGUAGUCCUGGGCCACUGGAGGAAAAGAAGAAAAUGGCUUUGGGCACAGUCCCCCUACUUGUAGCAGAAGUUCAAGAGGUGGUCAUCUCUGCAGAAACAACUUUGGAUUUGACUGAAGCCCCUGCAGAAGUAUGACCUUGCUGUUCUCCCUUGCUAAAAGAUACAGCCUUCCUGUCUCCUAGGCCAAGCCAAGAUACCAGCAGAGACUUGAAUCCCACAAGAUCCUAGGGCAGGCUGGAUUGCAUUUAGCUCACUAAAAGCUGUGUUACACUGUUAGAACACAAGCUUCAGGUCUGUGUGCAUAGUGUUAUUUCAUUUUUGAGAUAUAUCCUUUGUAACACCUUUCAGGCUUGAGGAAGAGGCUUUUAACUGUUUCCUGCUGGCUGGAGAAGGAAAGGACAAUUCCCAGCCCUUUCCUUGGCUGUGGUCUCAAUCAAAUCCUGGCUGUUGCAACCAGGGCUCUGCAGAUGUGGGAACCCCUAAAGGAGAGAAUGUGGCUCUACUUCUAAUGCAGAUUGUAGGACAUCAGAUAACUAUCUGGGCAUGCAGGCACACAAUGCUUGGAUCAAAGGAAAAGCUGCAAACCAAAUUGGAUUGCUUUACUGAUACCUUUUCUAGUUCUUAAAAAUGCAAAUUUUUAGUAGAACCAGAAGUAUUUCUGAUAUGUCAGAACAGGCAUUUGAAUAAACUCACAAAUUAUA